UUAGACCCCCCCUCCCCGAAAAAAAAAAAUAGGUAACACAAACUCCCCAAAGGCAGCAGCUCUCCGCACGCGCGCUUUCUUUAUUUCACACAAGUGCGCGUGUGAGGCUUCGUCGAGUACGCAUUCCUUGACUAAAGCCGGUGCGCUCAACUCUAUCCAACAUCCCUACCUCCACUUCCGUUGCCGUAAUCCGUUUCUGAUAGAGCAUUUCUUCCUGUGCGUGGCCCCUGGCGGAAACAAGGACGCUGCAAUUCGUGAGAGCAGAUAAGAAUCACCGGAGCGCCAUAACACACGCGCUCGAGCAAGGGACCGCGUCAUUGUUUGGAGCCGGCUACCGUUCGUGAGCAGGCGCGUACGCACACCACCUCCUCCUCUACACCUAUUCAUACACACCGGGUCGUUCUCACGGCGGUGUGUAUACGUCAUUGCCGCUGUUUUACUAUACACAGCCACCGUGAGUGAUUUGUACGAACGUCUCGUUGCUCUUUUUUUUAGAUUUCGUAGUUUGUGUUUUCUUGUCGUUGUUUUGCCGAUUGCUUCUUACCUCCUCCUCCUCCACUGUCUGCCUCCUGGCGUCGUUCCUUUUCUUUUGUCUCUGUUUUUUUUUCUUUUUUUUUCGUAUGGGUGCCUGUGCUCUUCUCUGCCGUCUUUUGAGUUCUCUGCCGUGUCCACUCAACCGUCUUCGCCGUUUCCCCAGGAGCCCACCUCUUCCCAAAGUGCACACUCGAAUCUGAUCGACUCCCGCGUGCCGCGUGGCGACUCCAUCGUUUCUUUUAUUGUUAUUAGUAUUAUUAUGUAUUUUUCGCGUGUUUCUCAUCCCAAAACCGUCCGCAUUGACUGUGCGUCUGUCUUCCUUGAUCGGUGUCGCGCACCCUUUCAGGCUGUCCUUCACCCUUUAUACUGCACAUCUUAUUUGUGCUUCAUGCUGCUGUGCGCGUGUGUGUGCGUGUGCGUGCUGCGGCUGACCUUCUCUGGUGACUGAUUCCACGCCCUUCUCCUAUUCAUCCCCUCCGCGAUCCCUCCUCAUUCUUGUUCGCCUCUCCGUUUUCCUCAUUCCGGAAGGUCAGUGAUCGACAGUGCAGUCCAAGUACGCAUAGCGUCUGCUCACGUUUACGGUCUCUGGACCCAUCAGCGUAUAGACGGUUGCUGCGUAUAGAACGACUUGUAGGGAACAACACGGAAUAGAGCAAGAGAGCACAAACUAACGAGAGCGGAGAGGGAAAGCCGGAAAAAAAAAAAGGAUAGCAUAUACUCCACUAAAACGUCUACAGCCGUUCGGUGUUGGCCCGCUGCGCUCUCCUUCCCUCUCCCUUUCCCUUCCAAGGGGCUCCUACGCGCGUGUGCUUGUGUGUGCGUGCCUGUCUAAUUUUUUUUUUCCCGUUUUGCCGUCUUUGUAUCUUUCCCUUUUCUUUGGGUGUUUUGUUUCACGUGACGCAUUCUCUCCCCCACUUCUCUCUCUUUGCUCUUCUUAUCAUUGUUCUCAUCGGAUAUCUGCCACGAAGCCGUACUUGUGCCCGCCUCGGGCUCCGCUUCUCUGGUCGUGUGGUGCACAGCCACACACCCACACCUCCGUACAACGCGCUCGCAAUACAUGACUCUUUUCCAACAACGACAACAAAAAAAAACGCCACUGCUGUUUGUCCUCUCGCUGCUUGGUGCUUUCUCUUUCCUGUUUUAUUUUGGUUGCAUGGUAUGUGUGCACGGCGCCUCUUUAGUCUCCUUUUUUCGUUGUUUCCGUUGCUCUCCUCCUCCUGCGCCCCGAAUCUGAUUCCGCGACAUUAUUUUUUUUUUUUUCGUGUGUGUGUGUGUGUUUGUGUGUCAUUGCUGUUUCCGCUGUCCUCGUCGCCCCCCCUCCUUCUCUCUCUCUGGUUUCGUUUUUCUUUCGUACAUUUUCUUCGACUUGAUUCCAUCUUGGAUUGGGUGCUGCUGUUGCCUUUGAUUUCCUUUUUGUUUCUGCUAGUGGUGCGCGCGUAGGCAGGAUUACAACCUUUCCCUCCCGCUCUCGCGUGCGCUGGUAUAGUCCAUUGAUCUGGACGCCGCGUGCUGGCGAUCCCAGCCACUCUUCGAGUAGACUUCCUGAGAUACGAAAUCGAAAAGCGUGGCGCAUGAUGGCGGACGGCUACCACAACAAGCCCGCUGCCCCCAAGGUGGGCCAGCGCUUUGGCCCCUAUCAGGUCGGCGACACCAUCGGCCGUGGCACCUUCGCCAAAGUAAAGAUUGGCUACCACGAAACGACCAAGGUCCGCGUAGCGCUCAAGAUUAUAUCACGCAAGCUGAUGGAAAGCGACGCGCGUUCGGCGCUGAAGAUCAAGCGCGAGAUCAAGAUCAUGCGGGUGCUGCGCCACCCGCACAUCACUCGGCUCUACGACGUUGUCAAGACGAAGCACGACAUUGUGCUGGUCAUGGAGUACGUGUCUGGCGGCGAGCUGUUUGACUACGUUACCUGCAAAGGUCGACUAGAGGAGCCGACUGCGCGCGCCCUAUUUCAGCAGCUUACCGCCGCUGUCGCCUACUGCCAUCGCUACCGGGUCACACAUCGCGACAUCAAGCCAGAGAACAUCAUGAUGGAGCACGGGUGCCACAGCGUGAAGUUGAGCGACUUCGGGCUGUCCUCCAUCACUCAUGACGGUCGCUUCUUCGAGACGAGCUGCGGCACACCCAACUACGCGUCCCCGGAAGUGGUAAGCGGGCGGCUCUACGGCGGCCCGGAGGCGGAUGUGUGGAGCUGUGGCGUCGUGCUCUAUGCCAUGCUCUGCGGCACUCUGCCAUUCGACGACAGCAACAUUGCUCUCCUUUUCAAGAAGAUCCAGACUGCGGACUACGCCAUCCCUAGCCACGUCUCCGCGCAGGCACGAGACCUGCUGCACCGCGUGCUGGUCGUGAACCCGCUGGAGCGCGCCACCAUGGAGCAGGUGAUGCAGCACCCGUGGCUGCGGCCCGACUUUCCCCGUUAUCUGCUCUCGUUGCACUUCGCCGCUAUCGUGGAGACGACGCGCUUCGCGAGCACCUACUAUCUCACGGAGGACAUGUUGGAUGAGGAGGUGGUGCGCGUCGUCGCCUCCCGCUUCCGUGUCUCUCCGCAGGAGGUGGCGUCGAUCAUUAUGUCGGAGGAGGAGCGCAUCCCGUCGAUGCGGGCCGUCAUUAGCGAUGAGGACAACCCGAACUCCAUGGCGCGCCGCUACCCCGCCGCGAACUACUUUGAGAUGUACUCAAACGUGUUAGACUCGAAACUGUGGCCCACGCCGGUGGAGAUCGCCGCGGCCGAGGUGGCCCUUCGCGACGAGGCUCAUGACAUCUACGUUUCCUAUGUCAUUCUGACGCAGAAGAAGCAGAACAAGCUGGCUCCGCAAGAGCAUGCCGCAAACCCAUCGUUUGGAGAGAGUGCCAACUCCCUCCUUCAGUCGCAGGCCCAGCAGGGCUAUGGCUCCCUCAACGCAAACUCGCUGCAGCAGCUCACCGGCAACAGCAGCUUCACCGGCCUCAGCUUCAAGGAGACGAGCUCGAGAUCGCACGCGGACGCCAGCUCGUCGCCAGCAUCGAAGAAAUCGAACCACCAUAACGGUAAGAUGCUUCAGCAUCUAUCGUCGCCGUUGCAGCACAUCAUGAACUCGACCGUGCCGGCGGCCCCUCCUGGGGACCCGUGGCAGUCGGGCUACAACGUCAUCGCGGCGCCGUUUCUCCCACUCCACGCGAAAGGUGCCACCGGCACCGUACUGGGACAGCUCCUACGCGUGCAGGAGCUCCCGGUGCAGCUGCUUAUGUCUCGAAGAAUCACGGUGAAGCCUGUCAAGAAAGAAGCAUCAAGCACGAUGUUUUUGUCGCCCGGGCUUCCGAAAUCAACACCUGGUUUUGACUGCAUCAGCGACACCGGCGAUGCGCCAACCUCGAUGCCAACGGCUCCGCAAGGCAAUCUGCUGCAGCCGCAGCGAUCCCCCACGACGAGGACGAGAUCGGCGGCACCAACUCUGCUACAUCCGCACUCGAAGGUUGAGGUGGGUCUUAGCGACCCCCACUCGCCGAUCCCGACCGGCAGGCCAAUGAGGAGCAUCGGCGCCGACGCGCGGCACAACUUGGCCACCGCGGGCGGCGAGACAGCGCUGGACACGUUGUAUCAUGCAGAGACAGUAACACGCUUCGGCAACGACUUUAUUCGCAAUGGCGUAGCGUUUGUGAACUCCACCAGUCACGAGACACUGCAGGAGGUGUACGAGGCCAUGAAGGAGGAGGGGCUGCUCUGGAAGGUCAUCUACGACUACUACUUCUCCGUCGUGCGCUACCCAAACAUCAAGCUGCAGGUGAAGGUGUACAAGACCAAGUCGGAUGAGCAAUUGGUGGACGUCAAGGUGUCCGCGCAAAGCGGGAUGGCCGCGUAUGACGUGGCGCUGUCGUUGUUAGAGCGGCUGCGCACCCGUGCCGUUAACAAGCGCAAUACGCAGAUUCGUGAAAGCCAUGCAAGCGCCCUCACGCCGGAUACCACUUGAGCGCCUCCGCUUAUUCCCUUUCUCUCCGCAUGAGCAGCAGAGCAGUGUAGACCCGCUCUAGUGUCAAAAUAAAAACAAAACGGGAAAGAAAACGAGGAGGUCCACCUGAUUGCCCUUACGCGAAGGCCGGCCAUCUGUUGCGCGGGUAUCGUCUUGUGCUCCGAUACAACAGUUGUCAAAACACCUCUGUCGGCGACUUGUCACCGCCUCAUGCACGUCUUUCCUUCCCUUUUUUUCUCUCGUUGCCCAAGCGAUGUAGGGAGCGGAAGAAGGUAGAGAGAGGGAGCAGCUGAUUCUGGCACCUUGUUCUUCCCUCGACUACAGCUUGCCAUUGUGUGUGCGCGUGUGUGUAUCCCCUGAGCCCGUGGCCGGGGGGGGGACUCUACCUCCCCCUUUCUGUUAUGCUUGCUGGGACGGUGGAAUCAUCCCUUUCGCGCCAUGUGACGGGCCGGGUUGAGUUAAACUCAUGCUCUAUGGUAGAAAUGGGAACACCUCGAGAACGACAAAAAAAAACAAAACAAACACAAAAUGGAUCCAACCCCCCGCCACCCCCUCUAUCUGGGUUUUCCUGCAUAGAGUGCUCGCCUAUGUGUUUAUUGCGUGCACUUACCUUCCAGUUGCUCUCCGUGGAUCCGUUGAUCUCCUCUGCAACCCCGUUCUUUCAUCCUCUUCGUGCUGUUGUUGUACAUUGGUGAGACAUCUUGUGUGUGUGUGUGCGGCUCUUUUUUUUUUCGAAUUUCAGUGGUACCGGUUCUUUUUUUUUGUGGAAGUGAAUAUGUGCGUUCCUAGUGCGAGCAAUACCGCCGUUUCGAUGCAGAGCGCGCGGAGAGCGAGCGAGCCACCACACGCACCUGCUCGGCGUAGCGAGUACUGUGGUUGAAAGGGUGAGACAGGCUACACUGAGUGUCCUGAGAACUAACGUGAGCUCUCAAAAAAGAAAUGAAGCCAACUGGUUAAUGGGAAUCAAACAAAAACCCCUCCCCUCCCCCCACAAAAAAAAAUCGUGGCACAGUGUGGGCAAUAUGCAGCAUUGUUAGUACUGGUAGCUGUGUGCGUGUGUGCAAGUAUUGGAGGGCGGUGGAGGGCACAUCUGCUGCACCACACAUCACCAGCAGCUCUACAUCACGUACCCAUGAAGCGUUGCUGAUUGAAGUGCGGUGUGGCGCCACAAUCUCGAUGCCAUCUUACCCGAUUCAGGGCAUGGAUAGAUGGCACUGCCACACCCGUGUCAUCUAAAUGUUGUUUGCUGCUUUUCUGUUUACGUCCUCUCCGCUUUUGCUGCAUCUGUCUCUGUAUCUCUUGCCUCCCGCUCUUUGUUUUACGUGGUCGCCCACGGUGGCGCGCACAG
RNAcentral lists this unclassified non-coding RNA (5829 nucleotides) under Leishmania donovani. Its description in RNAcentral is "gene:LdHU3.36.1270(CDS-product:SNF1-related_prote in_kinases_putative)". Lineage: Eukaryota; Euglenozoa; Kinetoplastea; Trypanosomatida; Trypanosomatidae. The record is from RNAcentral.